AGGCUGGUCCCCCACCUCUCCUCACCUUCUCCGACGUUCCCGGUCUGGAGCGGGAGGGACGGACGCCGGCGAGGCCAGCCUCCCUUCACACACAGGUUUUAGAUCUUUCUAAACUAUUUGCUAUUGUUGUGUGAGAACUGAAUCAACUGAUGGAUAUCAAGAUUAUGUGGGAUGUUCUGCACAAUCAACUUGGGAAUAAUUAGCAAGUAGUGGUGUCAAUGGCAUCCGUCAGAGCCAUUUUGGUGGCACAUGCACACCACGUUCUGGAAUAACAUAAGUCUCACAAUCAACUUGGGCAGUUGAUGUAGGCUGCCUCAAUUUUCUGUCUGUGUAGCAGCAACAAGUUCAUGAAUCUACUGCUUGUUGCCUUUAUUAUUUUGAUCUAUGAAAAAAGAAAAUUUACCCUGUCAUUUAUGUAUGAAGGAGGAUGGAGGGAAUGUGGAUACGGCUUGGUUAGCAUCUAUUGAGGAAGUCACUAUGAAACAAGAGGAGAUGGAUAGGACUUUCAGAUCUGGCGUUCUCCCUGUCACUUACUGCCUGAUUUAUACACGGAAAUAAACAGAUAAUUUUACAGUCCGUACAUCGCAGGCCAAUAUAAAAAAGUACUUUUCCACUUCACAAAAUAAUACCUCAAAAGACACAUGUAUGAAGGGUAUACUGUUUUCCCAAUCAAAGUUGGAAACGGGCGCGCCAAUGUCAUUGCUCGGCUUAUCAUUGGAGUCGACAACAGAGCUCCCAUCGCAACAAACUGGGCUCAAUUCUUUCGCA
Triticum dicoccoides is the source of this 768-nucleotide long non-coding RNA. RefSeq lists it as uncharacterized. NCBI's taxonomy places the organism in Eukaryota, Viridiplantae, Streptophyta, Magnoliopsida, Poales, Poaceae. The record is from RefSeq and is a predicted model, not a curated record. The transcript has 6 exons.